AACGAACGCUGGCGGCAUGCCUAACACAUGCAAGUCGAACGAGACCUUCGGGUCUAGUGGCGCACGGGUGCGUAACGCGUGGGAACCUGCCCUUAGGUUCGGAAUAACUCCCCGAAAGGGGUGCUAAUACCGGAUAAUGUCUUCGGACCAAAGAUUUAUCGCCUUUGGAUGGGCCCGCGUUGGAUUAGCUAGUUGGUAGGGUAAAAGCCUAACAAGGCAACGAUGCAUAGCUGGUCCGAGAGGGUGAUCAGCCACACGGGGACUGAGAAACGGCCCAGAAGAAGAGGGGAGGCAGAAGUAGGGAAUCGUCAGAAAGGGGCGAAAGCGGGAGGGAGCAAGGACGAGUGAGUGAUGAAGGUCUUCGGAUCGUAAAAAGCUGGUAAGAGGGAAGAAAAUAUGUGUAAGUAACUGUGCAGAUCUGGAAGGGACAUAAUCAGAAAGCCAAGGAUAACUACGUG
Molecule: ribosomal RNA, 458 nt
Filed under: uncultured bacterium
Lineage: Bacteria
Description: partial 16S ribosomal RNA
Rfam family: Bacterial small subunit ribosomal RNA
Source: RNAcentral